This 751-nucleotide ribosomal RNA is filed under the name Inocybe sp. RNAcentral's name for it is "partial large subunit ribosomal RNA". It matches the Rfam family "Eukaryotic large subunit ribosomal RNA", at positions 73 to 811 of the family's 3401-position model. The record is from RNAcentral. Lineage: Eukaryota; Fungi; Basidiomycota; Agaricomycetes; Agaricales; Inocybaceae.
GAUUCCCCUAGUAACUGCGAGUGAAGCGGGAAAAGCUCAAAUUUGAAAUCUGGCGGUUUCUUAACUGUCCGAGUUGUAAUCUAGAGAAGUGUUACCUGUGCUGGACCAUGUACAAGUCUCCUGGAAUGGAGCAUCAUAGAGGGUGAGAAUCCCGUCUUUGACAUGGACUACCUGUACAUUAUGGUGUGCUCUCAAAGAGUCGAGUUGUUUGGGAAUGCAGCUCAAAAUGGGUGGUAAAUGCCAUCUAAAGCUAAAUAUUGGCGAGAGACCGAUAGCGAACAAGUACCGUGAGGGAAAGAUGAAAAGAACUUUGGAAAGAGAGUUAAACAGUACGUGAAAUUGCUGAAAGGGAAACGCUUGAAGUCAGUCACGUUGGCUAGAGAUCAGCUUUGCUUUUGCUUUGUGUACUAUCUGGUUGACGGGUCAGCAUCAAUUUUGACCAUUGGAUAAAGUCUUUGGGAAUGUGGCAUCUUUGGAUGUGUUAUAGCUCAUUGUCGCAUACAGUGGUUGGGAUUGAGGAACUCAGCACGCCGCAAGGCCAGGUUUCGACCAUGUUCGUGCUUAGGAUGCUGGCAUAAUGGCUUUAAUCGACCCGUCUUGAAACACGGACCAAGGAGUCUAACAUGCCUGCGAGUGUUUGGGUGGAAAACCCAUGCGCGUAAUGAAAGUGAAAGUUGAGAUCCCUGCAAGGGGAGCAUUGACGCCCGGACCAGACCUUUUGUGACGGAUCCGCGGUAGAGCAUGUAUGUUG